Austrofundulus limnaeus is the source of this 3209-nucleotide long non-coding RNA. RefSeq lists it as uncharacterized. The record is from RefSeq and is a predicted model, not a curated record. The transcript has 2 exons. Lineage: Eukaryota; Metazoa; Chordata; Actinopteri; Cyprinodontiformes; Rivulidae.
GAGGAGAGAAAAUUAAAUUAGUGGAAACGAGCAUGUGUUUUCUAAAAACAAACAUUUAGAUUCGUUAUUGAUGGAUUUAAAAAUACCCCACAUAUGUCAUCAAUAAGUCAUGAUCUAAUUUUUGAAUCUAUAAUAAGGAGGUUGAUUUGCAUUCAGUCAAAGGAGRUUUGACCUGACUUACUGCUAAUGAUUGCUCUUAGGUGAUAAAUGACUAAGUUAAUUGAAUCUUUUCUGCAGAAGGAGCCUUCUUCUUAUUUCUAGGCCAGACUUCUUCACAAUGGGAGCUCACUAAAUACAACUGGCAUCAAAAUAAUGUUAGAAAUACGUCGCAAAUAAUCUAUGAUGGCUUUACAGUAAGUGCAUAGAGGUGCGUGAGUUUAAGCAAUAUCAUUAGUGUAAGUAAAAGGUUUAAUCCAUUAACAGUGGAGGUCAUUCAAAGAGCCUGGCAAAAUAAAACACUUGUCAUUUUCCUCAUGASAGACAUAAACAUUAGCUUGUCGCUGACUUACAGGCAAGUCCAUUAACCUCUGUGUGYGCCCCUUGUCUUGAAUACACACCUUUUUCUUUUUUUAAGAAUUAUUCAAAGCUCCAGAAUGUGCACCUCGGCCUCAAACAAAUCGUUCAGGUCUAUUGGAGGAAUAGGGGAGGGGUUUCCAUGACAGCACGAGGCAGAGAUCUUGGGGUGCRGGGUCCCAGGUAAUGAGCAAAAAAUAUUGGAUGGAGGAAAAGUGGGGUAAGGGUGGUGGAUGGUGGUGGGAAAUGGUGUAGAGAGUCGAGAGAGCAUAGCAAAAGCUUACGUGGAGCAGAGGGAGGGGUCCUGAAUGACUGUAAUGGUGAUAAAUGUCUGAAGGCGAUUCAGUGGGGGUGAAAGUGAUAAAUGGAACAAAAAAAUGGAGAGUAUAUCUCUCUGAAAGAAGAGCUGGACUCAGCCAGAUUAAAUUUAAAGAUAUACAAUAUGCAAACAUGUAAAUCUUUUGUUUUCUUUACCUUGAAGUCCUGUUAGUGCCUCUUUAAAAUACUGCACACACCCCUACAGAAAACUGUCCGCUCCAUUUGAAAUGUUACAGAGAGCGUGUUGAAUACUAAAUACGAGAGAAGGCGGGGUGCAGAGGAUAACAGAGGACAUGAUGGAUGUGGAUUACCAAUGGCAGCAACAACAAGAAAAAAAAAGAUGGCAUCUUUGUGGAGAGCAGAGAAUAUUUAUUUUGUUUUAGCGUGUUCUCAAAGGGAACUGAGGCUGAAUUAUUUCUGAGGCAGCCGACAGCUUCAUCUCAGCACACUUCUCGGUACAGAGUGGAGAUCAACAUGAACUGGUAGAAACUAGUCAACGUCUAGAAUUCUCGUUAGCAAGAGGAAAGGCUAUAGGGUUGAAGAAAAUAAACAAAGAUACAGGGAGGAAAAAUGUUUUAAAAAGAGCUGUGCUACUAAAUGCAAGGGGAAAAAUGAAAGACUCUGAGAAAUGGCUGCCAGUUWUAGCAGGAAACAUUUGGUGGUCUGCUGCAGUCCCAUGACUAAACCAUUUUACCACUGCAGAGCUGAUGGAAGCAAAAGGCUGGACUUCAUCUCAUCGCAGAUUAAACUGAAGCAGCAGACAUUUGAAAUGAUCACAUUUCUCCUCCGUGUUGGUCAGCUAAACAAGAACAUCCACAAUCAGCAAAAAAUAAAUAAAAAAAACCUGCCUGCUGUCCUAAAGGAAUUGAUCAAGAUGAAUUCAGCAAAAGCAGCACACUCCAGGUGAACAAACCAUCUUCUGUUGAAGCCCGUCAGCACAGCUGGUAGUGCUGACAAGUUAAAAUAAGGCCCUACUCUUUCAAAUCUAUUCCCUUUGGAAAUUAAGCAAACAUUUUAACAAUGUAUUAUAAGCAUAAUUAAUAAAGGAAGUGUCUGAAACAAAUAGCAAGUUAAUUAUUUAAAGGUAGCUUUUAAGGAGGGAGGUGUGUUUGAUGUAGAUGAAAAAGAAAUAUUUUGAUUUACUUAAAGUAUUAUGUGUGAUUUGCCAUUUUUUAGUAUGUGAAUAUGUUUUAUGAUACAUCUACUGUUCCACACUCAUCUCAGAACUGAUGAUGACCUUUUAAAGCUUUUAACCUUUACUAUUAGAGCCAGUGUUUCCUCAGACAGGUGUCAACUCUGUUCAGCACCGCUCAGUGUGAAAGACAGUGGUGUGUAAUUAGCCCUGACGAUGGAACCCAUCACAGACUAAUAUUUGUUCUGCCUAUGAACUGCUGCUUCCUCUCAUUUGCUUUGAAGCUGAUGUUAGAAACAUCCGUCACUCUUCAGCUGUCAGAAAGAAAUGUUUGAGGCUUUUAUUCUUUUAAAUGUUACAUGCGCACACCAUGUAGUACACAAUUUGUUUCAAAUCGUACAGAGGACUAUGGAAAUGUAAUUGUGGUUGAGAAAAAAAAACAGAUUUUGAUUUUGAGUAACUGUGACAUUUUCACAAAUUGGACAAUUAGGCCUUGUGUCCACACAGAAAUUAUGCUUUAGGAGCACAAAAAAUGUUCUUUUUUGAAAACUGACUGUGUCUAAAUGCAACCUUUUUAUUGAUGAUGUCAUAGCUCCGCCUCCAACCUAGCACACCUGGGGGGUGGGCCUCAUUUACUUGUGCUCACAUUUUACAGGUUUUCUGGACAUGCUCUAGCUUGCUUCCUGUUUUUGAUCUAUUUUGACCACAUACAGGACUGGCUACAGUAGUUCUAGUGUUUYUGGUUGUUUUGUGUAGAAGAAGACCUUUCUAGGUGGAGCCUGAACCUCCCUAUAACUCUCCUACUGUCUCCAUUUUCAAAUCAUGCAUUAAAACUCCUUUUUUAAGAAAUAUAUUAAGCUGAACCAACUUAUGCUACCUUUUUAAAGUUAUGUUAUGCAGGAUGUUUWAUUAUUUUGUUUUCUACUAUGUUGUAUUUUUAUCGUGUUCUUGAGUGCUAAGAAAGGAGAAUCCAAAUAAAAUAUAUUAUUAUGAUUAUGGCGUAAUUUUUGUGUGUUUUUGCACCUGAUUGAUUGCAUCCUGUUUGACAUCAACACAAUUUUGAUCAAAGUCAAGCCCUAUAUUGGUUAGGAGAAAAACUGGCAUGCUCACUUAUACAGRCUCACUUAUAGCCUGUACAGUCUACAGAGCUGGUUUUCUUGUUAACUCCUACACGUCACCUCUAAACACUUGAAGGAACAGUGGCCUUACCUGGAAUAUUUCUUAGCAAAAAAAAGAAGAAAAAAAU